This 655-nucleotide ribosomal RNA is filed under the name uncultured Lachnospiraceae bacterium. RNAcentral's name for it is "bacterial SSU rRNA". It matches the Rfam family "Bacterial small subunit ribosomal RNA", at positions 65 to 730 of the family's 1533-position model. The record is from RNAcentral. Lineage: Bacteria; Bacillati; Bacillota; Clostridia; Lachnospirales; Lachnospiraceae.
UACUUUAUUGAAACUUCGGUCGAUUUAAUUUAAUUCUAGUGGCGGACGGGUGAGUAACGCGUGGGUAACCUGCCUUGUACAGGGGGAUAACAGUCAGAAAUGACUGCUAAUACCGCAUAAGCGCACAGGACCGCAUGGUCCGGUGUGAAAAACUCCGGUGGUAUAAGAUGGACCCGCGUUGGAUUAGCUGGUUGGUGGGGUAACGGCCUACCAAGGCGACGAUCCAUAGCCGGCCUGAGAGGGUGAACGGCCACAUUGGGACUGAGACACGGCCCAGACUCCUACGGGAGGCAGCAGUGGGGAAUAUUGCACAAUGGGGGAAACCCUGAUGCAGCGACGCCGCGUGAAGGAAGAAGUAUCUCGGUAUGUAAACUUCUAUCAGCAGGGAAGAAAAUGACGGUACCUGACUAAGAAGCCCCGGCUAACUACGUGCCAGCAGCCGCGGUAAUACGUAGGGGGCAAGCGUUAUCCGGAUUUACUGGGUGUAAAGGGAGCGUAGACGGAUGGACAAGUCUGAUGUGAAAGGCUGGGGCUCAACCCCGGGACUGCAUUGGAAACUGCCCGUCUUGAGUGCCGGAGAGGUAAGCGGAAUUCCUAGUGUAGCGGUGANAUGCCUAGAUAUUAGGAGGAACACCAGUGGCGAAGGCGGCUUACU